This 468-nucleotide ribosomal RNA is filed under the name uncultured bacterium. Its description in RNAcentral is "partial 16S ribosomal RNA". It matches the Rfam family "Bacterial small subunit ribosomal RNA", at positions 28 to 507 of the family's 1533-position model. The record is from RNAcentral.
GACGAACGCUGGCGGCGUGCUUAACACAUGCAAGUCGAACGGAAAGGCCCUGCUUUUGUGGGGUGCUCGAGUGGCGAACGGGUGAGUAACACGUGAGUAACCUGCCCUUGACUUUGGGAUAACUUCAGGAAACUGGGGCUAAUACCGGAUAGGAGCUCCUGCUGCAUGGUGGGGGUUGGAAAGUUUCGGCGGUUGGGGAUGGACUGGCGGCUUAUCAGCUUGUUGGUGGGGUAGUGGCUUACCAAGGCUUUGACGGGUAGCCGGGCUGGGAGGGUGAGCGGCCCCAUUGGGACUGGGAUACGGCCCAGACUACUACGGGAGGCAGCGGUGGGGAAUAUUACACAAUGGGCGGGAGCCUGAUGCAGCAACGCCGCGUGCGGGAUGACGGCCUUCGGGUUGUAAACCGCUUUCGCCUGUGACGAAGCGUGAGUGACGGUAAUGGGUAAAGAAGCACCGGCUAACUACGUG